AUGAUGUGGUUAAUUCGAUGCAACGCGAAAACCUUACCCACCUUUGACAUGUACGGAAUCCUUAGAGAUAGAGGAGUGCUCGAAAGAGAACCGUAACACAGGUGCUGCAUGGCUGUCGUCAGCUCGUGUCGUGAGAUGUUGGGUUAAGUCCCGCAACGAGCGCAACCCUUGUCAUUAGUUGCUACAUUCAGUUGGGCACUCUAAUGAGACUGCCGGUGACAAACCGGAGGAAGGUGGGGAUGACGUCAAGUCCUCAUGGCCCUUAUAGGUGGGGCUACACACGUCAUACAAUGGAUGGUACAAAGGGUCGCCAACCCGCGAGGGGGAGCCAAUCCCAUAAAGCCAUUCGUAGUCCGGAUCGCAGUCUGCAACUCGACUGCGUGAAGUCGGAAUCGCUAGUAAUCGUGGAUCAGAAUGUCACGAUGAAUACGUUCCCGGGUCUU
Molecule: ribosomal RNA, 443 nt
Filed under: uncultured Acidovorax sp.
Lineage: Bacteria; Pseudomonadati; Pseudomonadota; Betaproteobacteria; Burkholderiales; Comamonadaceae
Description: bacterial SSU rRNA
Rfam family: Bacterial small subunit ribosomal RNA
Source: RNAcentral